This 1288-nucleotide long non-coding RNA is filed under the name Coturnix japonica (Japanese quail). RNAcentral describes it as "lncRNA (ENSCJPG00005000413.1)". The record is from RNAcentral. Lineage: Eukaryota; Metazoa; Chordata; Aves; Galliformes; Phasianidae.
UGCCUCAGUUCAGAGACUGUGAAUAGUGCUGCUUUGUGUCUGUCGUGGUGAUUAAUAUAUUUCUUGGUAAUAACCUGGUAUAAUGUACAAAGCUGUAUGGUAAAUCUGUAGAGUGCACUGCCCUAGAACAAUUCAGUGAUACUUAACCCGGUUGCAUGAAUGGUAGCGUCUUCUGUUUGGACCACUGAAAAGUUAGACAUGUAAGAGGUGUCUAAUGAACCAGAAUAUUCAAGGGACUAGAUAGAAACAAUAGCCUUAUGAAUAUACAUUGAAUUCAAUAACAAUUGUUUUGCUUUUUUCUCUGCUCAUUUUGAAUUGCUCCUCAUGGAAGCCAGCUUUAGCUACACAAGGAAUGGAGAGACAAUGGAAUUGUGGCUAAGUGAAGCGUAUUCUUCCUGCAGUUUCUCUGAUGCUUUCCUGGAACUGGUAAGAGAAAAGAAACCAGAAAAUUUGGGUACUGCUUUUAGUGUUGGACCUGCUGGAGGCUGGAAAUGAUGGUGCUGGUGGAAGAGCACAUUUGGGGAGCAGAGUUAAGCUUGUUGUGACUGUUUCCCUACGAACCAUAGGCAUGCUGACUGUGAGGUAUGCAUCUCUGGUGGAAGUAGAAGAAAAGCCAUUUUUGUUUCCUUGUUUGGAGGGAGGGAUGCUGUGUGCAACUGUGGGUAGUGUCACUGAUACACACUCCAGUGUGCAGUCUGUAUUUGGGUGCAUUAAAGCAGAAAUAAGUUCCUGAAUUUAGGUGCUGCUAACUCCAAGACCCUGUUUUAUCAGUUACUGUUCAGCAAAGCUGAGUUAGUAGACUUGACUCACAUUAUUUAAGACAAGUAAUAUUUGGUCUCUCUUUUCAAAUUAUUUGGAACACACACUCCCUUCCUCCACUUUAAGCUCCAAAGCUGCAAAAUAAUUGCUCCUUAACUGGGCUUUGGUCUUUGCUGAAUUCAGUUACUCUGACUUAUUCUUGCUGUCCCUUUUCAGAGGGAUGGUGCAAAGUGUGAUUUGUCUAUACAUCCUAUGCAGAAGGAAAGGAGCUUAUAUGGUUUUGCUUCUCAUCUCUUUACUCCUAUUAAAUCAAUUAGCUAAGAUCGAGAAUUCAGCUAUAAGGCAUGCUGAAAAUCUUGUUCUCUAGUAAAUUCAUCACUUUCUGUGUCACUUGAUAUUAUUUUGUCCUCCCUUAUCAACUAGUUUUUUUUACAUAGUGGGAAUGCUGUAGUAUAAGAGACCUAUUUUGUGUGUACUACAGCACAAAUCAGUUUAAGAUGGAGGGAAUAAAAAAAAAAAAAAAAGUUCA